This 406-nucleotide ribosomal RNA is filed under the name uncultured bacterium. RNAcentral's name for it is "partial 16S ribosomal RNA". It matches the Rfam family "Bacterial small subunit ribosomal RNA", at positions 30 to 526 of the family's 1533-position model. The record is from RNAcentral.
AUUGAACGCUGGCGGCAGGCCUAACACAUGCAAGUCGAACGAGUGGCGGACGGGUGAGUAAUGACUUGGACACUGCCUGAUGGAGGGGGAUAACUAAUGGAAACGGUAGCUGAUACCGCAUACCAUCAGAUGUGCCCAGAUGGGAGUCGCUUGUUGGGGGGGUAACGGCUCACCAAGGCGCCGAUCCCUAGCUGGUCUGAGAGGAUGACCAGCCACCAUGGAACUGAGACACGGUCCAGACUCCUACGGGAUGCAGCAGUUGGGAAUAGUGCACAAUGGGCGCAAGCCUGAUUCAGCCAUGCCGGGUGUAGGAAGAAGGCCUUCGGGUUGUAAAGUACUUUCAGCGGGGAGGCGUUACCCGCAGAAGAAGGACCGGCUAACUCCGGGCCAACAGCCGCGGUAAUAC